RNAcentral lists this small nuclear RNA (164 nucleotides) under Pogona vitticeps (central bearded dragon). Its description in RNAcentral is "U1 spliceosomal RNA (ENSPVIG00000024773.1)". It matches the Rfam family "U1 spliceosomal RNA". Rfam says of the family: U1 is a small nuclear RNA (snRNA) component of the spliceosome (involved in pre-mRNA splicing). Its 5' end forms complementary base pairs with the 5' splice junction, thus defining the 5' donor site of an intron. Lineage: Eukaryota; Metazoa; Chordata; Lepidosauria; Squamata; Agamidae. The record is from Rfam by way of RNAcentral.
ACUCAUACCUGGCAGGGGAGAUAGCAUGAUCAUGAAAGUGGUUUUCCCAGAGUGAGGCUCAUCCAUUGCACUUUGGGUGUGCUGACCCCUGUGAUUUCCCCAAAAGUGGGAAAAUCACCUGCCUAAUUUAUGGUAGUGGGGGACUGCAUUUGUGGUUUCCCCUG